UCGGGAAUUUUGGGCAAUGGGCGAAAGCCUGACCCAGCAACGCCGCGUGAAGGAUGAAGUAUUUCGGUAUGUAAACUUCGAAAGAAUAGGAAGAAUAAAUGACGGUACUAUUUAUAAGGUCCGGCUAACUACGUGCCAGCAGCCGCGGUAAUACGUAGGGACCAAGCGUUGUUCGGAUUUACUGGGCGUAAAGGGCGCGUAGGCGGCGCGGUAAGUCACUUGUGAAAUCUCUGAGCUUAACUCAGAACGGCCAAGUGAUACUGCAGUGCUAGAGUGCAGAAGGGGCAAUCGGAAUUCUUGGUGUAGCGGUGAAAUGCGUAGAUAUCAAGAGGAACACCUGAGGUGAAGACGGGUUGCUGGGCUGACACUGACGCUGAGGCGCGAAAGCUAGGGGAGCAAACGGGAUUAGAUACCCCGGUAGUCCCUGAGCGGGCUGGCAAGGCGCAU
This 447-nucleotide ribosomal RNA is filed under the name uncultured bacterium. RNAcentral's name for it is "bacterial SSU rRNA". It matches the Rfam family "Bacterial small subunit ribosomal RNA", at positions 355 to 825 of the family's 1533-position model. The record is from RNAcentral.